RNAcentral lists this ribosomal RNA (120 nucleotides) under uncultured bacterium. Its description in RNAcentral is "partial 16S ribosomal RNA". It matches the Rfam family "Bacterial small subunit ribosomal RNA", at positions 796 to 918 of the family's 1533-position model. The record is from RNAcentral.
CACACUGUAAACGAUGAUUACUCGAUGUUGGCGAUACACAGCCAGCGUCUUAGCGAAAGCGAUAAGUAAUCCACCUGGGGAGUACGCCCGCAAGGGUGAAACUCAAAGGAAUUGACGGGG